GGGAAGGGAGCAUAUGGCAUGCCACAUGUGUCCAUUAAGGCAGUAUUUUUCUAUUCAUUCAUUGUUCCCCUUCCCCAAGCAGAGGGUGAAGCAGAUCAGGACUGUUCAAAUGCUGGAUGUAGCUUCUGGCCUAGGAACAGGUCCCCUCUGAGUCCAUUCUCACCCAGGCUUGAAGUUGCAAACCUGCUCACAUUCUCACCCCUCCAGUUCCAUUGGCACCUGUGUCUGCCGCUGCCUCUGGGGAAGCCUGCACUGUUUAAAGAAUUAUUCACACCGAGGCUGUAGCACCGAGCAUAAGGCUUCUCAGAGUGGUGACAAAGGCAAUAUAACUGGAGAGAUUUUAAUGCUCUGCUACUUCUAAUGUCAGAAGAAUAUUGUAAGGACUACUCACUACCUCUAAAUAAAGAACUC
Long non-coding RNA from Perognathus longimembris pacificus (Pacific pocket mouse), 411 nucleotides. RefSeq lists it as uncharacterized. The transcript has 2 exons. The record is from RefSeq and is a predicted model, not a curated record. Lineage: Eukaryota; Metazoa; Chordata; Mammalia; Rodentia; Heteromyidae.